Molecule: long non-coding RNA, 1737 nt
Filed under: Taeniopygia guttata (zebra finch)
Lineage: Eukaryota; Metazoa; Chordata; Aves; Passeriformes; Estrildidae
Description: lncRNA (ENSTGUG00000021906.1)
Source: RNAcentral
GCCCUUUAUUUCCCACAAUCAUCCUGAGUUCCUCCUCGUUCACAUCCCUGCACAGACCACGUAAUUCCUCUGCAAGCAACAGGAGGAACAGAAGGAGGAAGAAUAUUCACCUCUCUCUGCUCUGAGGUUCUGGAUCGCUGGAGGCUUCAAUUGCUGCAGAAUUUCUAUGUGGAGGUUAAGCAUUCUCACUACAAACAAAACUCCCAGAUCAACACUGAAAAAGUAUUCCCUAGAACAAAGUGAGGAAUCCCAGGGAAGAUGGCAAUAAUCAAAUGCCCACAAACUAGUUGAAUUUCGGAAUUCUCAUGUGCAUCUCAAUGCAAGUGUUUGAAGUACUUCCCAAAUCACUCUUUUUCCUCUCUCCAACACACCUAAUUUCUAAUGGUGUAGAAAAUGUGCUUCCACUGUGAAUCAAACAGGUCUGGACCAAAGUUAGGGCUGCCUGGCCGGGGUGAAAGCGGGUGGCACUCGAGUUUGCUGUUCUUGGAUGUAUUUUCCUGUCAAUCCGUGCGUGCGCUGCACGGGGAGCCGGGCACCAACACGCUGCUGCAGGGCCCGUGUGAUUCCUCCUGUGCCACAUGCGGAGAAGGGAAGGGAAACGUUCAAUAACUGCAGCUCCAUGGAAAGCUCCCGUUGGCUACUCCGCAGGAGCGCAUUCCCAAUCCUCCCGGCGAACUCGGGCUGCAGAAGCCCUGGACCGGGAGAACGAGCACUAGAGGGCACAGCGCGACCAGCGACGGGCUUUGGCGAGGGGGAGGCAGAGCGCGGCUGGCUCUGAGCUGUCUUCACCCGUGAGACUCCGAGUGGCUCCUUAAAAUGGCACCUUUCGGAAGCUGCUGGGAGGCGAGGCCCUGCAGAAGUUGUGGUGCACUGGAAUUAUCGAGAGCGUGUAGGACAAGAGAGCCAGCAGCCUGGAGCAGGCAUUCCGAGCAGGCUUUUCCAGGAACUGUCAGCAUUCAGAAUGCCACCUCACGAUUUCUGGGAAGCAUGACUCCCAGCUCGCUCUGCAGAAAGGUAGACAGUGCUCAGAUUAUAUAUAGCAGCAAGUGGGCUGGGAGGAGAAACACUGGGCUGCACAGAGAGGGAGGCUGCUCUGGAGAAAGCCAGGGAGUGUCUUAUGGUGCAGCACAAACCAGUGGCACCUGGCGAGUGGAGCUGGGCCAGCGCUGGCCUGCGGGCAGCUGGCACUCAUGGAGUGCAGGAGAGCCCUGGGCAGUGCUGGGGCAGGUUGGGUGCACGCAGAGUGAUCCCUUGCUCUCAGCUCUUCUUCAUCCUGUUUCAUCCUCCACUAGCCCAGAUUGCUCCAACCCCAUCCAGCCUGGCCUUGGACUCCCAGGGAUCUAGGAGCAGCCACAGCUUCUCUAGGAGCCUUGUGCCAGGGCCUCCCCGCCCUCACAUGGAACAAUUCCUUCCCAAAAUCCCAUCUAAACCUCCUCUCUUUCAGUUUAAAGCCAUUAAUGACUCAGCCCAUUUGUUGAGAGUCCUUUAAAUAAUGAUGUCCACAUCUCCACUGGCUCAUUCCAGUCCAUGCCAGACCUUUGCCUGUAUCAGCCUGUGAGCCACAGAUUCCUCCAGCUCUGAAUGGUUCCCUCUGUCCUCCUGUCCUACAUGUAUGGGCUCUUUAUUCUGACCACAGGCCCUGUUCCGUCAGCCCCGGGGCAGGGGUUUGGAAGGAGAAAUCACCAUUUCAGUCCACUGGUGUCAGGAGGGGGCUGAGCUCUGCCCUGUGAACUCUGG